This 444-nucleotide ribosomal RNA is filed under the name uncultured bacterium. Its description in RNAcentral is "partial 16S ribosomal RNA". It matches the Rfam family "Bacterial small subunit ribosomal RNA", at positions 339 to 795 of the family's 1533-position model. The record is from RNAcentral.
CUACGGGAGGCAGCAGUGGGGAAUAUUGCACAAUGGGCGCAAGCCUGAUGCAGCAACGCCGCGUGAGGGAUGAAGGCCUUCGGGUUGUAAACCUCUUUUAGCAGGGAAGAAGCGAAAGCGACGGUACCUGCAGAAAAAGCACCGGCUAACUACGUGCCAGCAGCCGCGGUAAUACGUAGGGUGCAAGCGUUGUCCGGAAUUAUUGGGCGUAAAGAGCUCGUAGGCGGUUUGUCACGUCUGCUGUGAAAAUCCAAGGCUCAACCUUGGACUUGCAGUGGGUACGGGCAGGCUAGAGUGCGGUAGGGGAGAUGGGAAUUCCUGGUGUAGCGGUGGAAUGCGCAGAUAUCAGGAGGAACACCAAUGGCGAAGGCACAUCUCUGGGCCGUAACCGACGCUGAGGAGCGAAAGCGUGGGGAGCGAACAGGAUUAGAUACCCUUGUAGUC